UACGUAGGGGGCGAGCGUUGUCCGGAUUUAUUGGGCGUAAAGAGCUCGUAGGCGGUUCGAUAAGUCAGGUGUAAAAACUCCAGGCUCAACUUGGAGAGGCCACCUGAUACUGUCGUGACUAGAGUCCGGUAGAGGAGCACGGAAUUCCUGGUGUAGCGGUGAAAUGCGCAGAUAUCGGGAGGAACACCGGUGGCGAAGGCGGUUCUCUGGGCCUUACCUGGACGCUGAG
This 229-nucleotide ribosomal RNA is filed under the name uncultured bacterium. Its description in RNAcentral is "partial 16S ribosomal RNA". It matches the Rfam family "Bacterial small subunit ribosomal RNA", at positions 524 to 750 of the family's 1533-position model. The record is from RNAcentral.